GACGAACGCUGGCGGCGUGCUUAACACAUGCAAGUCGAACGGAAAGGCCCUGCUUUUGUGGGGUGCUCGAGUGGCGAACGGGUGAGUAACACGUGAGUAACCUGCCCUUGACUUUGGGAUAACUUCAGGAAACUGGGGCUAAUACCGGAUAGGAGCUCCUGCUGCAUGGUGGGGGUUGGAAAGUUUCGGCGGUUGGGGAUGGACUCGCGGCUUAUCAGCUUGUUGGUGGGGUAGUGGCUUACCAAGGCUUUGACGGGUAGCCGGCCUGAGAGGGUGACCGGCCACAUUGGGACUGAGAUACGGCCCAGACUCUUACGGGAGGGAGCAGUGGGGAAUAUUGCACAAUGGGCGGAAGCCUGAUGCAGCAACGCCGCGUGCGGGAUGACGGCCUUCGGGUUGUAAACCGCUUUCGCCUGUGACGAAGCGUGAGUGACAGUAAUGGGUAAAGAAGCACCGGCUAACUACGUG
This 468-nucleotide ribosomal RNA is filed under the name uncultured bacterium. Its description in RNAcentral is "partial 16S ribosomal RNA". It matches the Rfam family "Bacterial small subunit ribosomal RNA", at positions 28 to 507 of the family's 1533-position model. The record is from RNAcentral.